Molecule: long non-coding RNA, 2255 nt
Organism: Gallus gallus (chicken)
Lineage: Eukaryota; Metazoa; Chordata; Aves; Galliformes; Phasianidae
Source: Ensembl
AGUUCUUUCUCUGGAGAUUGCUUGUUGUGGAGUUUUGUGUGCCUACAACACUGAAAAGACAUCGCCUUGGAGCCAAACCAGGAUGGCACAUAGCUAUGAGGCUAGCUUCAUUUAUCUGCAUUCAUCUUCAGAUACAGACUUCAAACUGAGGCUUGAAGAUUCAUCUUUUUAGAUGAUCUCAUGUUAAGAGGAAAUGUCCUACAGUGGUGUAUGUGAUAGAAAUGAAUGUUUCCUCACCCCAGGCUCCAGUAUGAUGCUCAGCUGUUUGGUUUUUGCACCAGUGCUUAAUGGCAGUCUCUGUGUUGGGCUGACCCAUGUGCCUUGUACUGACUUCUGGCUCUGUAAUAUACCCAAAAAUCUGUGCAUAGGAUUGCUCCUGACCCACACCAGGAUGGUUGCUGAGGCAUUGCCCAACCCGCUUGGCACAUGAUCCAUUUUCACCUGGCUGCCCUUGCCCUCUACAGCCCAGUGCUUGGAGUGGCAUCCUUGAACAGACUGACUCUUCUUCAUGUCUGAAUCUGCCAGGGAAGAUGGGCUUUUUUUCUGCUUUUUUUUUUGCUUUCUUACUGUAAGGAUGAUGAGAAAGUAAAAACGUGACUGUUAAAGCUAGACCUGCAAAACAAAGCAGAUGAAGAAAUGUGUUAUUUUCUUAGUGCUUCUAGGAACAAAACCAAUACCCAAUUAUUACAUAUUUCAAGAGAAAGACAGGCAAAGUUAGUGUUUAAAUGUGAGCUAAAACAUUUCUUUGCACAGCUUCUACCUUUGUAAGAUACCUGGGAUGGAGGUGGAGAUGGGGCUUACUUUAUGCUUUAGGACACUGUCUUUAUCACUACUUUGUAGGUAUGAUAGAAUACACAGGAUUUUUUUUGCACUAUAGGUUGUGCUUAGGUGGUGCAGGUGCCUCUGGUCAGACUAAGUACAUGUCAAGCCCCUGGUGCUAGUUAUGAUGAUUUGGUCUCAAGUUAAUGCCAAAUCGGAAAGCAAUGAGGUUAGAAUAUGAACACCAUCCAUAAGAAAAUACUGUUCUAAAUCUUAAAAAUAGUUUCAUGUGACUAUAUGGCAAGCUUAGAUCUACUGUUUUGUUUAGUCAUCUGUGACAGGAAUAUUUGGUACCUUUUUAUUCUAAGUAUAAGCAUCCUAUGAAUUUUGACUUGUCAUGGUGUAAAAUGUCUGCUGAUGUUUGCAGUAGGUGGAUGUGAAAUAUUCCUGUAAAAAGCUCUAGGAUCUUCGUUUUAAUACAUGCACAUCAGGGCUGUUAGCAGAGAGUGGUGGGUGUUUACUUAGUGAAAUUAUUACUUGUUUUGUAAUUGUGCUUGUAAGACUUGUCUCUUUUUGCCAUAAAUUCCAAGUCGUGCAGAGAAGCAUAAAUGACUGAGGCAGUGGUUACAGGCAAAACACUCCCUACUCAUAGAAUUUUUGCUUGUUCUAAUCUAUUGCCAAUUAACACAGACUUCUCAUCACCUGGAUUCUGGUGAUGAGAAGGAGUAGAGCAUAAACAAUCAAUUCCUCCUCCUUCCCCAGGCUCAGCAGAAGCCAAGAACCUGUAAUCACUCCUUUCCAAUUUCAACUCCAUGUACUUUGGCUGUGGGCUGCACACAGCCCACCGCAGUCCCUGCAGUGUGAUGCUGGGCAGUGCUUGGGACAUGUGCGUUGAUGUUUCUUUUGGCCACUUCUCACUUCUUCAGGUUUUCCCUCUGCAUGUUGGUGCCACAGCCCAACAGGAGAUUCCAAAAGGAAAUACACUAAGGAUGCCUAAUUGCAUAUUCAAAUCAGUGAGUGCUUUAGGAGCUGUGCUCAUGAAUGUUCCAAUUAAACUGGCCAGAAGAGAAUUUGUCAGAAAAAAAAUAGGACAAAUUUUCUAUGUGGAAAUGUGCCAAGAAAUUUCACAAAGAAUUCCAAACACAUCUUUCCACUUCAGUAAGUGUUUUUUAAAAAGUGUUUUUUUAAAAAUAGAAAGGGCAUUUUUUGCUUGAAGUUUGGUAUAUCCUUUGUAUAUAUUCUGUUAAUGAAAGCAUGGUGAAGCACAAAGAAGGAAAUCUUAAGUAGAGAGUAAGACCUUCAGCCUGUACCAAAUUACUUCUCUUAUUAAUAAUUAUUGAAACUGAUAUAAAAUGAAAUGUUUUAGAAAUUAAUGUAAGUUAUAUUCAGUUCCUGACAUAUCACAAAAUAACAUAAGAACAGUACAUACAGAAUUAUGGAGAAACACUUGUAACUUCCUAGAUAUUCUCUUUUAAAUAAACAAAUUUAUUUAAAAU